RNAcentral lists this ribosomal RNA (301 nucleotides) under uncultured bacterium. Its description in RNAcentral is "partial 16S ribosomal RNA". It matches the Rfam family "Bacterial small subunit ribosomal RNA", at positions 509 to 807 of the family's 1533-position model. The record is from RNAcentral.
CAGCAGCCACGGUAAUACAGAGGGUGCGAGCGUUAAUCGGAUUUACUGGGCGUAAAGCGUGCGUAGGCGGCUAAUUGAGUCGGAUGUGAAAUCCCCGAGCUUAACUUGGGAAUUGCAUUCGAUACUGGUUAGCUAGAGUGUGGGAGAGGAUGGUAGAAUUCCAGGUGUAGCGGUGAAAUGCGUAGAGAUCUGGAGGAAUACCGAUGGCGAAGGCAGCCAUCUGGCCUAAUACUGACGCUGAGGUACGAAAGCAUGGGGAGCAAACAGGAUUAGAUACCCCUGUAGUCCCUGUCUCUUAUAC